Molecule: ribosomal RNA, 429 nt
Filed under: Chloroflexota bacterium
Lineage: Bacteria; Bacillati; Chloroflexota
Description: Chloroflexi bacterium partial 16S ribosomal RNA
Rfam family: Bacterial small subunit ribosomal RNA
Source: RNAcentral
UGGGGAAUAUUGCACAAUGGGCGCAAGCCUGAUGCAGCCAUGCCGCGUGUAUGAAGAAGGCCUUCGGGUUGUAAAGUACUUUCAGCGGGGAGGAAGGGAGUAAAGUUAAUACCUUUGCUCAUUGACGUUACCCGCAGAAGAAGCACCGGCUAACUCCGUGCCAGCAGCCGCGGUAAUACGGAGGGUGCAAGCGUUAAUCGGAAUUACUGGGCGUAAAGCGCACGCAGGCGGUUUGUUAAGUCAGAUGUGAAUUCCCCGGGCUCAACCUGGGAACUGCAUCUGAUACUGGCAAGCUUGAGUCUCGUAGAGGGGGGUAGAAUUCCAGGUGUAGCGGUGAAAUGCGUAGAGAUCUGGAGGAAUACCGGUGGCGAAGGCGGCCCCCUGGACGAAGACUGACGCUCAGGUGCGAAAGCGUGGGGAGCAAACAGG